RNAcentral lists this ribosomal RNA (713 nucleotides) under uncultured bacterium. RNAcentral describes it as "bacterial SSU rRNA". It matches the Rfam family "Bacterial small subunit ribosomal RNA", at positions 164 to 879 of the family's 1533-position model. The record is from RNAcentral.
UAAUACCGCAUAAACAGGGGUCCCGCAUGGGGAAUAUUGUUAAAGAUUAUUGGUUGCGGAUGGGCAUGCGUUCCAUUAGCUGGUUGGUGAGGUAACGGCUCACCAAGGCAACGAUGGAUAGGGGAACUGAGAGGUUUAUCCCCCACACUGGUACUGAGACACGGACCAGACUCCUACGGGAGGCAGCAGUGAGGAAUAUUGGUCAAUGGGCGAGAGCCUGAACCAGCCAAGUCGCGUGAAGGAAGACGGUUCUAUGGAUUGUAAACUUCUUUUGCAGGGGAGUAAAAAGUGGGACGUGUCCCAUCUUGCAAGUACUCUGCGAAUAAGCAUCGGCUAACUCCGUGCCAGCAGCCGCGGUAAUACGGAGGAUGCGAGCGUUAUCCGGAUUUAUUGGGUUUAAAGGGUGCGUAGGCGGAAGCUUAAGUCAGUGGUGAAAGUUUGGGGCUCAACCUUAAAAUUGCCAUUGAAACUGGGUUUCUUGAGUGUAAAUGAAGUAGGCGGAAUUCGUGGUGUAGCGGUGAAAUGCAUAGAUAUCACGAAGAACUCCGAUUGCGCAGGCAGCUUACUAAGCUACAACUGACGCUGAAGCACGAAAGCGUGGGUAUCAAACAGGAUUAGAUACCCUGGUAGUCCACGCUGUAAACGAUGAUAACUAGCUGUUUGCGAUAUACAGUAAGUAGCUAAGCGAAAGCGAUAAGUUAUCCACCUGGGGA